CCUACGGGAGGCAGCAGUGGGGAAUAUUGCACAAUGGGGGAAACCCUGAUGCAGCGACGCCGCGUGAGUGAAGAAGUAAUUCGUUAUGUAAAGCUCUAUCAGCAGGGAAGAAAAUGACGGUACCUGAGUAAGAAGCCCCGGCUAACUACGUGGCAGCAGCCGCGGUAAUACGUAGGGAGCACGCGUUAUACGGAUUUACUGGGUGUAAAGGGAGCGUAGACGGCAGUGCAAGUCUGUAGUGAAAGGCGGGGGCCAAACCCCCGGUCUGCUGUGGAAACUGUACGGCUGGAGUGCAGGAGAGGUAAGAGGAAUUCGGAGGGUAGCGGUGAAAUGCGUAGAUAUUAGGAGGAACACCAGUGGCGAAGGCGGCUUACUGGACUGUAACUGACGUUGAGGCUCGAAAGCGUGGGGAGCAAACAGGAUUAGAUACCCGAGUAGUC
RNAcentral lists this ribosomal RNA (440 nucleotides) under uncultured bacterium. Its description in RNAcentral is "partial 16S ribosomal RNA". It matches the Rfam family "Bacterial small subunit ribosomal RNA", at positions 338 to 795 of the family's 1533-position model. The record is from RNAcentral.